Molecule: long non-coding RNA, 217 nt
Filed under: Elaeis guineensis (African oil palm)
Lineage: Eukaryota; Viridiplantae; Streptophyta; Magnoliopsida; Arecales; Arecaceae
Description: long non-coding RNA (EGUI_LNC077621)
Source: RNAcentral
UUUUAAAUUUUAUAGAAAUCUAAAACUAAUUGAUUCUCGAAGACCCUUCUGAAAUUUCUUACACGUCCUGAUUUCUGCACCUGAAAACUGUUCAGAAAACUGUUUGUGCAUCCUUGGAAGAAAUAAACUUUUCCAUCUAUAGGAGAAUCAGAAAUUCAUGAAAUUUGAUGAUUUGAAAAUUAUAUUUGAUAAGGAAGAUUUUUACAAGUAGAAAUCU